This 858-nucleotide ribosomal RNA is filed under the name Triticum aestivum (bread wheat). RNAcentral describes it as "partial small subunit ribosomal RNA". Lineage: Eukaryota; Viridiplantae; Streptophyta; Magnoliopsida; Poales; Poaceae. The record is from RNAcentral.
AUGGAGCACGACGAGCCCGAGCUGGAGGAGGCCGACGAGGAGGAGGAGGAGGAGGAGCGCGCCAUGUCGUGCGGGCUGGGCGGCAAGAAGCGGCGGCUGGCGCUGGAGCAGGUGCGCGCGCUGGAGCGCAGCUUCGAGACGGACAACAAGCUGGACCCGGAGCGCAAGGCCCGCAUCGCCCGCGACCUCGGCCUGCACCCGCGCCAGGUCGCCGUCUGGUUCCAGAACCGCCGCGCCCGCUGGAAGACAAAGCAGCUCGAGCGCGACUUCAACGCGCUCCGCGCCCGCCACGACGCGCUCCGCGCCGACUGCGACGCGCUCCGCCGCGACAAGGACGCCCUCGCCGCCGAGAUACAUGAGCUGAGGGAGAAGCUGUCCACCAAGCCGGAGACGUCGGUGAAGGCGGAGGCCGCCGGCAAUGCCGACGCCACGGAGGAGCGCCUGCAGCAGGCGACGAUGAUCGGCGCGGCGGUCUGCAAGGACGGAUCCUCGGACAGCGACUCGAGCGCGGUGUUCAACGACGAGGCGUCGCCGUACUCCGGCGCGGUCUUCGAGCAGCAGGGCUUCAUGGGGUUCGGCGCGUCGUUCCUGGACUCGGCGUCGGCGGCCGCGGCCACCACGGGCGGCGGCUGCUCGUCCCUGCCCAUGCUGGAGCCCAAAUGGCCCGGCGCGUACCCGUACGACGCGGGCAGGUCCGGCGGCUACGGGUUCACGGAGGAAUGGCUGGCCGGCUCGGACGCGAUCGGCAACGACGGCAGCGCGGCCUUCUUCUCCGAGGAGCACGUCUCCAACCUCAACUUCGGCUGGUGCAGCAGUGGCGCCGAGGGUUUUGAUCUCCAGAGUUACUGUAAAAAGUGA